RNAcentral lists this ribosomal RNA (492 nucleotides) under uncultured bacterium. RNAcentral's name for it is "partial 16S ribosomal RNA". It matches the Rfam family "Bacterial small subunit ribosomal RNA", at positions 29 to 507 of the family's 1533-position model. The record is from RNAcentral.
AGUGAACGCUGGCGGUAGGCCUAACACAUGCAAGUCGAACGGCAGCACAGUAAGAGCUUGCUCUUACGGGUGGCGAGUGGCGGACGGGUGAGGAAUACAUCGGAAUCUACUUUUUCGUGGGGGAUAACGUAGGGAAACUUACGCUAAUACCGCAUACGACCUACGGGUGAAAGCAGGGGAUCUUCGGACCUUGCGCGAUUGAGUGAGCCGAUGUCGGAUUAGCUAGUUGGCGGGGUAAAGGCCCACCAAGGCGACGAUCCGUAGCUGGUCUGAGAGGAUGAUCAGCCACACUGGAACUGAGACACGGUCCAGACUCCUACGGGAGGCAGCAGUCGGGAAUAUUGGACAAUGGGCGCAAGCCUGAUCCAGCCAUACCGCGUGGGUGAAGAAGGCCUUCGGGUUGUAAAGCCCUUUUGUUGGGAAAGAAAAGCAGCAGGUUAAUACCCCGCUGUUCUGACGGUACCCAAAGAAUAAGCACCGGCUAACUUCGUG